UACAGAGGGUGCGAGCGUUAAUCGGAAUUAUUGGGCGUAAAGAGCUCGUAGGCGGUUUGUCGCGUCUGUCGUGAAAGUCCGGGGCUUAACCCCGGAUCUGCGGUGGGUACGGGCAGACUAGAGUGCAGUAGGGGAGACUGGAAUUCCUGGUGUAGCGGUGGAAUGCGCAGAUAUCAGGAGGAACACCGAUGGCGAAGGCAGGUCUCUGGGCUGUAACUGACGCUGAGGAGCGAAAGCAUGGGGAGCGAACAGG
Molecule: ribosomal RNA, 253 nt
Filed under: uncultured bacterium
Lineage: Bacteria
Description: partial 16S ribosomal RNA
Rfam family: Bacterial small subunit ribosomal RNA
Source: RNAcentral